ACUGGAGGAAUCAGCGUGCUUUAACCAUUACCGAAAGAUUGGUAACCCCUUGAAAAUCCUCCGUGAUCGGGAUCGGGAAUUGCAAUUAUUUCCCUUGAAC
RNAcentral lists this non-coding RNA (100 nucleotides) under Brugia pahangi. Lineage: Eukaryota; Metazoa; Nematoda; Chromadorea; Rhabditida; Onchocercidae. The record is from Rfam by way of RNAcentral.